RNAcentral lists this ribosomal RNA (444 nucleotides) under uncultured bacterium. Its description in RNAcentral is "partial 16S ribosomal RNA". It matches the Rfam family "Bacterial small subunit ribosomal RNA", at positions 354 to 796 of the family's 1533-position model. The record is from RNAcentral.
GUAGGGAAUAUUGGGCAAUGGUCGGAAGACUGACCCAGCCAUGCCGCGUGCAGGAAGACGGCCCUCUGGGUUGUAAACUGCUUUUAUCUGGGAAGAAAAAGGCCAUGCGUGGCAAAUUGCCGGUACCAGAUGAAUAAGCACCGGCUAACUCCGUGCCAGCAGCCGCGGUAAUACGGAGGGUGCGAGCGUUGUCCGGACUUAUUGGGUUUCAAGGGUGCGUAGGCUGCUGAUUAAGUCAGCGGUGAAAGACUUCGGCUUAACUGGUGCAGUGCAGGUGAUACUGGUUGGCUUGAGUGUCGGAGGGGUACAUGGAAUUGAUGGUGUAGCGGUGAAAUGCAUAGAUACCAUCAGGAACACCGAUAGCGAAGGCAUUGUACUGGCCGACAACUGACGCUGAUGCACGAAAGUGUGGGGAUCGAACAGGAUUAGAUACCCGUGUAGUCC